Molecule: ribosomal RNA, 403 nt
Filed under: uncultured bacterium
Lineage: Bacteria
Description: partial 16S ribosomal RNA
Rfam family: Bacterial small subunit ribosomal RNA
Source: RNAcentral
AUUGAACGCUGGCGGCAGGCCUAACACAUGCAAGUCGAGCGAGCGGCGGACGGGUGAGUAAUGUAUGGGGACUGCCCGAUAGAGGGGGAUAACUACUGGACACGGUGGCUAAUACCGCAUACUGUCGGAUAACCCAUAGGGGAUUAGCUAGUAGGUAAGGUAAUGGCUGACCUAGGCGACGAUCCCUAGCUGGUCUGAGAGGUUGAGCAGCAAAACUGGAACUGAGACACGGCCCAGAGUCCUACGGAGGCAUCAGUGGGGAAAAUUGCAAAAUGGGCGAAAUCCUGAUGAAGCCGGGCCGAAUGUAUGAAGAAGGCCCUGGGGUUGUAAAGUAUUUUCAGUAGGGAGGCGUUACCGACAGAAGAAGCACCGGCGAACUCCGUGCCAGCAGCCGCGGUAAUAC